RNAcentral lists this long non-coding RNA (1399 nucleotides) under Homo sapiens (human). RNAcentral's name for it is "non-protein coding lnc-EBF2-3:1". Lineage: Eukaryota; Metazoa; Chordata; Mammalia; Primates; Hominidae. The record is from RNAcentral.
AAGUUUCUUCUAUUAAUUCUGGUCCUUCAAGCCACUGCCUUCGGAGCUAUUCCUGUGGCUAAUAGUACAAGUCCAGAACAAAAUGAUGUGUUUGCACAAAGGUACAUGGGCAUCUUUUAUGGUCUCCUGAAGGAAAGAAUUCCAAUGAUCACAAAGAGAGCCAACAGAGAAUUCAAGGCACACAAAAUCCAGGAAAUAUAGCAGUUUUUGGGGCCAAAUGUGACCGGGCAAUUGGAUGCAUCUACUCUGGCAAUGAUGCAUGCACCUUGAUGAGCAGUACCUAAUGUUCAUCAGGUUAACACAGUGAUGGGGAAACCAGUAUGGAUGAAAUGUCAUAUCACCUACACAAUCAAGAAUUAUACUACUGGCAUGGUGUAGAAAGAUUUUGACUAUGCCAUCCAGAAGGCUUUCAAGUAUGGAGUGAUAUGGUACCUGCCACCCCCGAAAUUCAAACAGAUUGACCCAGGUGAGGCUGACAUUUUUAUAUUUUGCAUAAGGAGAUCAUGAAGACAGGAAUCCUUUUGAUGGCAGAGGUGGAACCUAUUGCCUAUGCUUAUGGUCUGGGAGCUGGUGUUGAUGGAUACUUGCAUUAUGAGGAGGCUAAAAUCUGAAUUCAACACUCCAAAGGCAUAAACUUGCUUCUUGAUGCUGCUGAUAGGGCCAUUCCUUGGGUCUUAGCCACUCCAAAGAUCCAAAAGCUAUUUUUCUCUCUCUAGAGUUAUGUUGAUCCAACCAGAUUUUGCCUCUCUACUGAUGACAUCUAUGAUAUUCAGUUUCUCCGUGGAAGCCCAUAAAAGCACCAACCCCUGUCACAUCCUUAUACUCUAAAACCUGCUACCUGUGACUCCAAGUUAAGCUUUGAUGCUGUCACUAUAAUUGAAGGAAAAAUCUUUUUCUUUAAAGACAGGUUCUUUUGGUGUAAGCUUCCUGAACUAUCAAAGAGCAGUGUUAGUUUAAUUUCUUCCUUAUGGCUGAUCUUGUCAUCUGGCAUUCAAGCUGCUUAUAAAAUUGGAUCCAGGAGUCAAAUUCUUCUUUUUAAAGAUGAAAGUACUGGUUAAUCAGUUGUUUAAAACCAGACUAUCACAAGAGGAUACAUUCUCCGAGCUUCCUUGUCUCUGUGAAAAGAUUUGAUGGUGCCGUUUUUAAUUCACUUAACUACAAGACCUACUUCUUUGUGGAUAAAGAGUAUUGGAGGUGAGAUGAGAAAAGGCAGUUCAUGAACCCUGAUUAUCCUGUACUAUUUACCAAGAAAUUUUCAGGAAUUAGACCCCAAAUUGAUGUAGUCUUCUACUCCAAAGAAUAUUACCGUGUCUUCUAAGAUUGUAAUCAAGUUAAAUAUGACAUACUAACCAAUUGUGUCACCAAAAGGCUGCAAAGAGUUAACAAGUUCCGUUGGUGU